This 579-nucleotide long non-coding RNA is filed under the name Vigna radiata. Its description in RNAcentral is "long non-coding RNA (VRAD_LNC015900)". Lineage: Eukaryota; Viridiplantae; Streptophyta; Magnoliopsida; Fabales; Fabaceae. The record is from RNAcentral.
CUUGAUGUUCUUUCUUGUGUGAUAUGUCUCUUGACUGCUUGCACAUAUGCCUUGGCUCGACUCUUUUUGAUAAUUCUUGAUUGAUAUGCAUGUUUGGAAGUGAUAAAGGCAGUUUUGUUCUUGAGCCUCUCUAGCCAGAUGAACCUACCCUGUUUUGAUCCUUUGAUAGCCCCUUUGCACCUAUGCUUUUCACAUUUCUUUGUUUUGAAGCUUAUACACUAGCCCUAAGUGAAAAACCAUGUGUACCUUAACCUUAGGGAAUUUUGGAGCUUUGGAAUUGUUUUGGGAAUAAGUGUGGUCUCGUGAGGAUUCUGAUGAGUUGGCUAGUUGGUUCCUCUUCUUAGUUAUUUUUGUAUAUAUGUGCACAUCUUGUCUCAUACGGUUUUGUUAUGAAAAGAGAAAAGAAAAAGAGACAAGAUAAGAAAAGGAAAAAAUACAAAAAAAUGAGAAAAAAAAAAAAAUUGUGUGAAUAAUGGAGUCAAGAAGAGGAUUGAAUUAGAGGUUUUGGGUCUGAAUUGAAUGUGUUUACACUUGUUCCCCAUUGCUCCUCUAUUUAUUUUGGUUUGUAGCUUCUCAUCC